GACGUAGGGCGCGAGCGUUGUCCGGAUUUAUUGGGCGUAAAGAGCUCGUAGGCGGCUUGGCGCGUCGGCCGUGAAAACCUGCAGCUCAACUGCAGGCUUGCGGUCGAUACGGGCAGGCUAGAGUUCGGUAGGGGAGACUGGAAUUCCUGGUGUAGCGGUGAAAUGCGCAGAUAUCAGGAGGAACACCGGUGGCGAAGGCGGGUCUCUGGGCCACUACUGACGCUGAGAAGCGAAAGCAUGGGGAGCGAACAGG
RNAcentral lists this ribosomal RNA (253 nucleotides) under uncultured bacterium. RNAcentral's name for it is "partial 16S ribosomal RNA". It matches the Rfam family "Bacterial small subunit ribosomal RNA", at positions 524 to 776 of the family's 1533-position model. The record is from RNAcentral.